AGAGUUUGAUCCUGCUCAGAAUGAACGCUGGCGGCGUGCUUAACACAUGCAAGUCGCACGAGAACGCUUCAGCUUGCUGAAGUUAGUAAAGUGGCGCACGGGUGAGUAACGCGUGGGUAAUCUACCCCCGAAUUGGGGAUAACAUCGCGAAAGCGAUGCUAAUACCGGAUAAUAUCUUAAAAACCUCGGUUUUAAAGAUCAAAGGUGGCCUCUACAUGUAAGCUUCUGUUUGGGGAUGAGCCCGCGUACCAUUAGCUUGUUGGUAGGGUAAUGGCCUACCAAGGCUACGAUGGUUAGCUGGUCUGAGAGGAUGAUCAGCCACACUGGAACUGACACACGGUCCAGACUCCUACGGGGGGCAGCAGUGAGGAAUUUUGCGCAAUGGGGGAAACCCUGACGCAGCAACGCCGCGUGAGUGAUGAAGGCUUUCGGGUCGUAAAGCUCUGUCAAGUGGGAAGAACCCACAUGGUGAUAAUACCACUAUGUGUUGACGGUACCACUGAAGGAAGCACCGGCUAACUCCGUGCCAGCAGCCGCGGUAAUACGGAGGAUGCAAGCGUUAUCCGGAUUCAUUGGGUUUUAAGGGUCCGUAGGCGGACUUUUAAGUCAGAGGUGAAAGCCUGCAGCUCAACUGCAGAAUUGCCUUUGAUACUGGAAGUCUUGAGUAUAGUUGAAGAAGGCGGAAUACGUCAUGUAGCGGUGAAAUGCAUAGAUAUGACGUAGAACACCGAUUGCGAAGGCAGCUUUCUAAGCUAUAACUGACGCCGAGGGACGAAAGCGUGGGGAGCGAACAGGAUUAGAUACCCUGGUAGUCCACGCUGUAAACGAUGAUAACUCGCUGUUGGCGAUAAACAGUCAGCGGCUAAGCGAAAGCGUUAAGUUAUCCACCUGGGGAGUACGUUCGCAAGAAUGAAACUCAAAGGAAUUGACGGGGGCCCGCACAAGCGGUGGAGCAUGUGGUUUAAUUCGAUGAUACGCGAGGAACCUUACCAGGGCUUAAAUGCAGAGUGACCUUUCCGGAAACGGAGAUUCUCUUCGGAGCAAUUUGCAAGGUGCUGCAUGGUUGUCGUCAGCUCGUGCCGUGAGGUGUUAGGUUAAGUCCUGCAACGAGCGCAACCCCUAUCUUUAGUUGCCAGCGAUUCGGUCGGGGACUCUAAAGAGACUGCCAGCGCAAGCUGUGAGGAAGGUGGGGAUGACGUCAAAUCAUCACGGCCCUUACGUCCUGGGCUACACACGUGCUACAAUGGUAAAGACAGAGGGCAGCCACCUGGUGACAGGGAGCAAAUCCUUAAACUUUAUCUCAGUUCGGAUCGAAGUCUGCAACUCGACUUCGUGAAGCUGGAUCACCUCC
RNAcentral lists this ribosomal RNA (1351 nucleotides) under metagenome. RNAcentral's name for it is "bacterial SSU rRNA". It matches the Rfam family "Bacterial small subunit ribosomal RNA", at positions 8 to 1339 of the family's 1533-position model. The record is from RNAcentral.